CGGUCUUUUAAGUCUGUUGUAAAAGCCUUCCACUUAACCGUGGUCGUGCAUUGGAAACUGGGAGACUUGAGUGCAGAAGAGGAGAGUGGAACUCCAUGUGUAGCGGUGAAAUGCGUAGAUAUAUGGAAGAACACCAGUGGCGAAAGCGGCUCUCUGGUCUGUAACUGACGCUGAGGUUCGAAAGCGUGGGUAGCAAAC
RNAcentral lists this ribosomal RNA (198 nucleotides) under uncultured bacterium. RNAcentral describes it as "partial 16S ribosomal RNA". It matches the Rfam family "Bacterial small subunit ribosomal RNA", at positions 576 to 773 of the family's 1533-position model. The record is from RNAcentral.